Molecule: long non-coding RNA, 582 nt
Organism: Mesocricetus auratus (golden hamster)
Lineage: Eukaryota; Metazoa; Chordata; Mammalia; Rodentia; Cricetidae
Exons: 3
Source: RefSeq, a predicted model, not a curated record
UCCUGAGUUAGAGAUCCUUCCCGGGGCAGCCUGGGAUUUCCUUGUCUUCUCUCAUGAUAAAUGCCUGUCAAAGCUUUAGCUCGGUGCCCUAUGUGACCAUCUGAUCACAGAAUACAGAGUUGUGCUGUUUUUGGAGUCCCUCGGGUGUGGCAGGAGUGACACCAACUCAAGUUAAGAUUCUACGUGCCCCAUGGAGCAUUGCUAAGCCUGGAGACAUGUCCCCAGCUCACGGGGGCUUUUAGGCUUCUUUUGCCCCUCGCUCCAAUCGCCAAAACGCACUGUGUCUCCAAGACCAAUGGGAAGAGGAAACCCGAAGUCGGACAGAUUAAAAUGACCUUAGAAGUGGGUUACCAUGCGGCUUAAAGGAGGUGCUGCACCUGUAAGGGCCCGGAGAGGACCAGACGAUGCCCAGAGAGGACCGAUGAUGCCCCGAGAGGACCGGACGAUGCCCAGAGAGGACCGGACGACGCCCAGAGAGGUGUUUUGCAAGAAAAUCCUGUGAGCUCUGAGCACGAAACAUUAAAAUUGACUGAUUGGGUGGCUUUAUUAAAAAAAUACUAUGUAUCGGCAAUAAAAAAUCUA